GAGUUGGGCACUCUAAAGAGACUGCCGGUGUCAAACCGGAGGAAGGUGGGGAUGACGUCAAGUCCUCAUGGCCUUUAUGACCAGGGCUACACACGUACUACAAUGGCCGGUACAAAGGGCAGCGACACGAGCGAUGUAGAAGCGAAUCCCGAAAAGCCGGUCUCAGUCCGGAUUGGAGUCUGCAACCCGACUCCAUGAAGUUGGAAUCGCUAGUAAUCGCGGAUCAGAACGCCGCGGUGAAUACGUUCCCGGGCCUU
Molecule: ribosomal RNA, 257 nt
Filed under: uncultured Desulfocapsa sp.
Lineage: Bacteria; Pseudomonadati; Thermodesulfobacteriota; Desulfobulbia; Desulfobulbales; Desulfocapsaceae
Description: partial 16S ribosomal RNA
Rfam family: Bacterial small subunit ribosomal RNA
Source: RNAcentral